ACAGCAGAGAAAGAAGCUUGUCUUUUCCAUCCUCAGCAGUCCAGCUCUUCUCACAGUCCUGUGAAUAAGAGAAGCCAGCAGUCAGAAAUGUGUUUCAGGGUGACAGAAGUUUUUGUUACAGGAUCUCAGCAGGCAGGGAAGAAUGAGACCUCCCACAUGACUUGGAAACGGAAUUUACGCACACCUGCGCACAGCUCUGCCUGAAAAACAAGGACACUGAGCACUGGAUGAAGAAUAGCAGGAACAUGAGAGGCUCUCCUGGGAAUGCAUCGAAGGAGCGCUGGUGGAGGCUCUCUAGUUAAUCACUUUGUCAAAAGGAGUACUUUUUCCAGUGUGCAACAUUAUUCACUUAACUUUUCAUUAGGCCUUUUCAUGUGUAAUUGCUGUAAGGAGCAGUAAGUGAUGUUUCAUGCCACAAAAGGAUAGCUAUUCAUUGUAUUUGGGCUUCCUCCAGAUGAAAGUCUCGGUCUCAGCCUGUACCAGCUGUUCAUCUGGCUCAGCGUCACCUCCUUAACCACAGGCAGCACUUCUGUUGCAUAAUACAAAGGAACUUGGUUUCUUUUUUCCACCUUUGCUGCCUCAGUCCUCACAAUGAACUGAAGAACUACGUUUUUGUUUGACCCCACAGCUAAGGACAGCUUUAAUGACAAGAUGCAAACGAGAGCCUCGCGGUGAGACAAUCUGUCUUUUGGACACCAGCUUGUCAUCAGAAAUCUCACCAUCACUUCUUCACCUGCUCAUGUGGUACCCAGCUGUGCCUUGCUGGCCCUGCUUUUGCCUGGAGUGUGAGAUUUGCUGU
This is a non-coding RNA of Cyanistes caeruleus (blue tit), 799 nucleotides long. The record is from RefSeq and is a predicted model, not a curated record. Lineage: Eukaryota; Metazoa; Chordata; Aves; Passeriformes; Paridae.